This 1522-nucleotide ribosomal RNA is filed under the name Escherichia coli. RNAcentral's name for it is "bacterial SSU rRNA". It matches the Rfam family "Bacterial small subunit ribosomal RNA". Lineage: Bacteria; Pseudomonadati; Pseudomonadota; Gammaproteobacteria; Enterobacterales; Enterobacteriaceae. The record is from RNAcentral.
AGAGUUUGAUCAUGGCUCAGAUUGAACGCUGGCGGCAGGCCUAACACAUGCAAGUCGAACGGUAACAGGAAGCAGCUUGCUGCUUUGCUGACGAGUGGCGGACGGGUGAGUAAUGUCUGGGAAACUGCCUGAUGGAGGGGGAUAACUACUGGAAACGGUAGCUAAUACCGCAUAACGUCGCAAGACCAAAGAGGGGGACCUUCGGGCCUCUUGCCAUCGGAUGUGCCCAGAUGGGAUUAGCUAGUAGGUGGGGUAAAGGCUCACCUAGGCGACGAUCCCUAGCUGGUCUGAGAGGAUGACCAGCCACACUGGAACUGAGACACGGUCCAGACUCCUACGGGAGGCAGCAGUGGGGAAUAUUGCACAAUGGGCGCAAGCCUGAUGCAGCCAUGCCGCGUGUAUGAAGAAGGCCUUCGGGUUGUAAAGUACUUUCAGCGGGGAGGAAGGGAGUAAAGUUAAUACCUUUGCUCAUUGACGUUACCCGCAGAAGAAGCACCGGCUAACUCCGUGCCAGCAGCCGCGGUAAUACGGAGGGUGCAAGCGUUAAUCGGAAUUACUGGGCGUAAAGCGCACGCAGGCGGUUUGUUAAGUCAGAUGUGAAAUCCCCGGGCUCAACCUGGGAACUGCAUCUGAUACUGGCAAGCUUGAGUCUCGUAGAGGGGGGUAGAAUUCCAGGUGUAGCGGUGAAAUGCGUAGAGAUCUGGAGGAAUACCGGUGGCGAAGGCGGCCCCCUGGACGAAGACUGACGCUCAGGUGCGAAAGCGUGGGGAGCAAACAGGAUUAGAUACCCUGGUAGUCCACGCCGUAAACGAUGUCGACUUGGAGGUUGUGCCCUUGAGGCGUGGCUUCCGGAGCUAACGCGUUAAGUCGACCGCCUGGGGAGUACGGCCGCAAGGUUAAAACUCAAAUGAAUUGACGGGGGCCCGCACAAGCGGUGGAGCAUGUGGUUUAAUUCGAUGCAACGCGAAGAACCUUACCUGGUCUUGACAUCCACGGAAGUUUUCAGAGAUGAGAAUGUGCCUUCGGGAACCGUGAGACAGGUGCUGCAUGGCUGUCGUCAGCUCGUGUUGUGAAAUGUUGGGUUAAGUCCCGCAACGAGCGCAACCCUUAUCCUUUGUUGCCAGCGGUCCGGCCGGGAACUCAAAGGAGACUGCCAGUGAUAAACUGGAGGAAGGUGGGGAUGACGUCAAGUCAUCAUGGCCCUUACGACCAGGGCUACACACGUGCUACAAUGGCGCAUACAAAGAGAAGCGAUCUCGCGAGAGCAAGCGGACCUCAUAAAGUGCGUCGUAGUCCGGAUUGGAGUCUGCAACUCGACUCCAUGAAGUCGGAAUCGCUAGUAAUCGUGGAUCAGAAUGCCACGGUGAAUACGUUCCCGGGCCUUGUACACACCGCCCGUCACACCAUGGGAGUGGGUUGCAAAAGAAGUAGGUAGCUUAACCUUCGGGAGGGCGCUUACCACUUUGUGAUUCAUGACUGGGGUGAAGUCGUAACAAGGUAACCGUAGGGGAACCUGCGGUUG